Dermacentor albipictus is the source of this 6665-nucleotide RNA transcript. It is a transcript of the gene named phagosome assembly factor 1, with no coding region annotated. Lineage: Eukaryota; Metazoa; Arthropoda; Arachnida; Ixodida; Ixodidae. The record is from RefSeq and is a predicted model, not a curated record.
CCUUUUUUCACCGGAGAAAUCGGCCGUCGGUGAGCGAGUGGUCGACCUUGCGUGCUUUUUCGCCUAGCGUUGUGAGCCAGCUGGCUUCUUUCUCCUUUUCAAUUUCUUUUUCCCUCGCAAGCAACAUGCCUGGGCGCGGCUUUAAAAGAGAGUCAGCUGACUGCGAUAACCUCGGCAACUUUUGCUUCGUGAAGCGCGAUAGGUCAGUACGGAGGCGAACGUUUGAGAUGUCGCGUCGCUGUCGAGACCUGCCCGAGACGAAACCCUGCGGGUGGUCCACCGUUCGUGGUAGGGUCCGUAGGAUGGUGCAGCAACAAGUCCGCGUAGUACGCGGGAUUACGUCACGAGGCCGAUAGCGAGCUGUUGCUGCUGGUCUACAGCUCAGCCGUCGUUCGACAUUGGAAACGCGCGAGGGAGUCGCGGAAAAACAGCUGUUCGCCGCGGAACACGUCACCUUACGCGCGGAGAGGGGAAAGAAAGAAGGGGAGGCGAGCGAAACAGCUGCCUGCCGUUGACCCGCGGGCGAGCAGUAACUGUGGAGCCCAUCGAUGACUCGGAAGACGACGUCCGCGCAGCAGCGGCAGUAUCAGCAGACGACACCUCUGUUUCCGUCUGCCUAUGCCAGCGCACGCAGUCGCCAGCCAGUGCCUGUUUCGCCGCUUCCCGCAGCAGGAGCGUCGUCGAAGCGAUGCUGUCGCCCACAGAGCCCGUCCUUGCCAAGGCAGUCGGAGUGCCGAGCGGAACACUGCAUAUGGGCAUGGCAUUUAGCCAGGUGGUCCACAUAUUGCAACAGCAAUUCCGCAUCAUCAAGGGUGUCCAGAUUAUCUACAAUGAGCAGUGCCCACUGGACAGUGAUCUCGUGAUCCUCCUGUCAGAGGAUGGGAUCCAGCUCAGCUUCGACUCAAGCUCGCAGAGGCUAAAGGUGAUAGAAGUCACCGACAUGUCGAAGGUUAAGUUGACAUAUUGCAGGAGCACUUUCUGCUCACCCGAGGUGUUGCCCACCAGACAGCAAAUUGACGACUGCUUCGGCGCCACCCACCCCGGAGAGUAUGAUGCCAGCCAGCAGAUGUUUGUGCUGCACUUCCGGGGUUUGUCCUUCUCGUUCUUGGCUGACCCCAAGUGCAAGUUGGACGCAGCCCUUGGCUCUUCCCCCACGGGGCAGCUGCCCAAUGGCAGCUCGCCACUGGUCUCCCGCAUGGCCAUCUACUACGGAAACAGCCUCACCGACACCAGCUGUUUUCACCAUCAUCGUCAUCAUCACCACCACCACCAUCCACGGAAUAUUGCAUUGCAUGACAAAGGCCUCUGCUGCCCCAUGCUCUCCCUGCCCUGCAGAAAGAACACUUGCUUUGCAGCUGCAAAUUUCCUAGACUUAUCAUCACCUCAUCUGCUUCAUACCGCCAGCUGCCGGCUGUUGUUUCCUUGCCCUCGGCCUCCCCCCUUGCCUCUGUGCUGUUUCGGCAACCAGAGCUUCCUCGAGGCACUGGAGGUGCUUCGGGAAGGGGACACGACCCUGGGGGUCCGGCUCACCCUGCUCACCGAAGCGUACGAGACGUCUCGGCUCUCUGGGCCAAUCCAGAAGAAGUUGACACGAUGUGUGUACUUCGGUGACUCCGUUCAGGACGUGGUGUGGGCCCUGGGCUCCCCAAACAAGGUGUUCUACAAGGAGGAGGACAAGAUGAAGAUCCAUGCCCAGGACUCCCACAGGCUGCUGGCCGCCAGGGCCUCUGACUACUUCUACAACUACUUCACCCUCGGCAUGGACGUGCUGUUUGAUGCCCAGCGGCACGUGGUGAAAAAGAUAGUCUUGCAGAGCAACUACCCAGGCCACUACAACUUUCAGCAAUACUACCGGUGCCCAUUUCGGCUGAAGUUGCGCCUCCCUCCUACACCCGAGCAGCGCCGGGCCACCCUGGUUGAUGUGGCCGACGAGGACGAGGGACACGCGGUCACUGCCUUCACCAAGUGGGACGAGCUCCAAGAGCGCCUGGUCAAAGCAUCCGAGCGCCCAGUUGUCCUGAACAGAACCUCCUCGACAAACACCACCAAUCCAUUCGGAUCUACCUACUGCUAUGGAUACCAGGACAUCAUCUUCGAGGUGAUGCGGAACAAGCACAUAGCAUCCGUGACGCUCUACCAGCGCAACGGCCGACUACACAGGGCCAAGGGCACGGCCUCAUGACACCACCUCCCUCGCACAUCGUCCUUGGCGCACAUCUCCACUAGUCACCACAAUGCCGCUCCUUCUCCGCCGCCCAGCCCGCCUCCCUUCUUCCGCCUCUUGCCACAGCAGCAGCAGCCGCCACCGCCGUUGUCGUCGUUGCGUGAACCCCCACCCCGUCGCUCACCUCCGGGACUCUGAGCUCCCGCAGGGUCGUGUGUGUGGCAUGUUUGUGUGGAUGACAGUGCCAUUCGGUUAAGGGUAGAUGAAAGCUCGCGGAAACCCAGGCCAGCGUUUCAUGAAAAGUGAAAGAGAGCAAGAACCAUGAUGGUGCACAGAUGUGUGGUGUGUAGUAUUGCUAUUUUCUUUUUAAUAUUUUAAUUGCCUUUCUUUCUUUAUCCGCACGUUGGGAGCGUUGCAGUUUGGCAGCUGUAGAUAUCACAAGGUGAUGAAUGAAUGCUGCUCGUCGUCUUGGAGGAGCUGCUCGAAUUCUCAAAUACACUUGCGGAUUUCGUUGGCAUUUUUGCCAAAUUUUACGAGCCCAAAUCUGCCAGUGGCAAAUUUUGCGCUCCUCAUUGAAUUGCAGCGGAAGUUGCCAUGCACAGCCAACAGAUUGCGGUAGGCGGAACAUUUGGUUCAAUCCCCUUUCCGACAGUCUUGCAAGAAAUGUAACGAUUUGCUGUGCAGCGAGCCAAUUGGAAAUGACCAGUGAGAUAUGCUGGAAUUGGCUUUCUCUUUCUCUCUCUCUCUCUCCACUUUUGUGAAGCAUUUUUUUGUUUUUUUUGCCAAGUCUUUUGCCUCAAGGUUCAAGGACAGCUGUGCGAUGCUUCUUUGUUGCAUAAUGUUUCUCUGUGAAGAACAGGUGCUGAAGGUGUGAGAAGUUUUAAAAAGAAGAAAAAGAAAAAGUUCAGGGUUUCAGGAAGUGCAUACUUGCAUGUGACGCCGUCAGUGAAGCUCUUGAAUGUUCACAGCAGGACCUAAAGACAAGCUUAGUGAGAGGAAAAGGCAAACUGUAAGGUUUUAUGUCUGCAGUGCUGACGCUAUGUGAAAAAGUGCCCAUGUUGCGGCGAUUGUUUUGAAAUUCUGCGAGAGUCGCGAGCUGUGCCCAUGUGUGUGUUGCUGCUCAUAGCGAGUCCUGAAUGCUGGAAGCAUGGCACUCUAGUGUUCAGACGUGACUUUGCAACUGAGACAAACACUAUGUGUACUGAGCUCAGCCGAGUUUGGUAAUGAUAAUACCUAACCUUUGUUGUCAUAUUAUUUUACGUGCAAGGUAAUGUGCCUUGCCUAAGGAAUGAAGUGCUUUGGGUGUGCGUGCAAAGUGGUUGACCAGUGCCUGUACCAAAAAUAGGGCAAUUAAAAUGAUCUAAAUUAAAAGAAAAAAGGAAAUGCGAGGAAAUAGAUUUCAGUCCAACCUCCAGAAAGAAAACGACGAUGAACCAACACAGGUCGUCCCGGAAUUACAGCUUGAAAGACUAUGAAAAAGACUUCAUAAUUAGUAAUGGAAAACCAUACUAGUUCACAAAUACCUUGCAUAGAAUCUGUCGCACUAUGCGAUGCCUCGAGAAGAUAGGCCCACGUUACUUCUCAUCUUUCUAAAAUUCUUGCAUUUCCACAGUGGGCUAAACAACCGGCUGCGUCAGCACGAGACAGGAUGCAGAAACAAUUGCAGUGCCCCCUGGAUAGCACUGGUUUCCCUAUACAGAACAGUGUUGGUUUGAUUGAGAGGGCUUGGGACACUGUAUCGUGGGCUCUGGCCUGUGGAACUUUGUAACAAAGGCUCCCUGUUAUGUCGUGAAAAAAAAGAACAAAAAAGAUGCCCUGACUGGCGACCAACUUCCCCCCAAGCCUACUGCCCACGGCACCCCAAGUCCACCCCAUCUGCGCUCUCAUGGUACCUGUGCUGCCAACUAUGACGGUGCCUCCAAAUGCUCAGCGAUUACCUCUAGAGCAAUUCGACUGCAUCAACUUCUUCGUUGAAACCUGCUACAGCAAGCAUACACACUAUUAGCACAUUCAUUUAGCCCACUAGUUUACCAAAGCAUGUCUAAAUCCUUCAGGUGCUUCAGGUACCAUGUACACGUUCUUUGCUACAUGGUUUCUGGCACAGCAGUCAUUGUUGGCGAUCCUCUUUGCAAUAAUACCUGUUUACUGUCUUAGGUGUCAGUCAAAUAAGUGUCGACGAGAAGUGCCUGAUUAUAUUCAAGCAGGCCUGCGUGUCUUCCCUCUGGCUGAAACUCCUAGCCGGGAUAUCGACAAGAAAAAAGAAUUCGGCAUGCCAUGCUGCAACUUUCUGCAGUUGCUCAUCGCAGACAGCAAAUAGGUGCCAGCAGUGCUUUCUUUCAGAACGUUGCUGAUAUGCAAUUGCCCUGUUCGCCGUGAUGAGGGCUGUAGGCUAAGGGCUUCACCUACAGCUCGUACCACGCUACACCGCAGAGAGUGGGCAGGUUUGUCAUCAAGGUUGCGAAAGACAUCCGUUCACUGUAAAAAUGCUACACGCACAUGGCGCAGCUCCCACACACAUCAUCGUGUUUGCGAACGCCACUCUUUUGCAUGCUGCAACAGCAACUACUCCAGGAGAUAGGUCUGACUAUGGCACAGCUAGGGUAGGGGAGCCUCAUUCUCGCAAACUACUACAUGUGCACGUACGCUUAAGUUUUUUUGUUUCCCAUUUUUCAGGGAUGCAGGUGAGCACUACAAUUGAGUAAAUGUGGUAAUGCAAGCUUCCUUGUAUUUGUCUUGUAUACGUGUGUACACUAGUUUUCAGCACCUCUGCCAUCCGAGUGUGCAGAUCUCACAGGUAUUGAUUUGGCUUGAAGAAAAGCACAUUGUUAUUAUUGUUGUUUAAAAAUUGAGCGCAGUGUAGUUCACAUGCUUUUUAUUGUAAUUGUAUCACUCUCACCUGUGCACCAGUGUUUACCGAUAGUGCUGAAAAGGCGUUUACUUGCACUUUUGUAUCGUUCGACAUGCAUAUGUGUGUGUGUGUGGGUGGGGGGGGGGGGAGGGGAGAAUUGUCACUUUUGUGCAACGUGGUUUUCUUUUAUUGUUGUGCUGAUAGGGUGUGUUGUCAGAAAGGAGUGACGAAUGUGUUUUUAUGGCUUGACCAGAUUGUCUGCCCGGACAUGUGGAACCAGCUGGAUUCUUGCACUGUCACUCUCGUGUAACCUUUCACAUUUAAUGCCAUACAGCUCCUCGAAAUGUGUCAUUGCGGAUGUCGCAUUUUUAGGUUUCCCACAGCUCUUCAUUGCUUCCAAAGUCUGCUGUGCAGCUUACUGUUGAAGCUCUCUUUGAUACCAUUCUAGCGGUAUGGGGUGAUUUACAUAAGAUGCUAUUGUAUCUUCAUGGUGCUUAGGUCAUAUUGAAAAUGGCAUGCUACGCUUAAAAUGACAUGUGCCAACAUUGCGUUUUGUGAUAAAGGACAUCCGAUACUGCACUCAGCAAAAUGAAGCUUUGCUUUACUUCUUGUCGCAUGAGAAAAGAAAAAAAGAAGAAAAAAGCAUGAUGAUAACUUGUUUAGUGUGCGAGGUCUAUGUACACCUGUGUGUAGUAUUUAAGAGUGCUUGUUUUUUAACCAAAAACACAACUUUCUGGUGUCUGAGCGUUUUAACAGUUGUGAGGCAUGUAUUUGUGCAAGUGCUUUUUGUUUGGUCGAGCUUUAAUAUGGCCGGCUGCUGUCUAGUGACAGCUUUUUGUAUUUUUAUUCUUUGGUUUGAUGUAUCGUUUUAGAACAUUGCAUGGAUGUAUGUGUCGACAAAGCUGCCAUGUGCCCUGUGUGAAUGAGAAGGCGCAUUGCCGUGAUAGAACACAGAUUACGUUAGUUACGUUCGCAGCUGGUGUCGUGAACGCGACAUGCCUUUUCUGAGCCCUUCACCACACCACCUUUUAUUCUCUGCUUGUUCGUGUGGAGCCCUAUGACGUAUGUGCAAGUGUGUUAGCGUGACUGGCCUGUAAUUUUUCUUCUUGUGCCAGGCACAUCGAUGUGUGGCUUCUUUCUUAUGCGUGUUGAGUGCACAGAGUGAGCCCCUCAUUGUCUACAGCUGCUUGGUGCAGUACCUAACUUUGCGUCAGUAGGGUAGCUCUCUCUGAGCACCAAGUGAAUUGUACCAUUUGGGGAUGUAUGUGUACUUUUCUGUAACUUUAUUUGUGACUUUGGUGGUGCCUGGCUAGAAACAUGUCGAUACUUUUCCUUUGUUUAGACAUUAAAGAUGAUAUUUUUAGCGUCUUUUAAUGUCCCUGUGUUGAGGCUACUGAGCUGUUAAUGUCUCGAGUUACAUGCUCAGUCUGUGCAUCAUCUGAACGUGAGGAACAAAUUCACAUGUGCGUGUCAGAGACUAAGUGGCGACAUUUCCCGGAAGUGUGCCAGUGUUUCUGAUGUUUCCUGGUCGUGCGCUGUGUAUUUGUACGUAUCAUGUACUCUGCUGCAUAGCCUGUGACCAGUUGCACUGGAGAGUAAAAAGAAAAAAAAAGAAGAAAAGAAAAUUGUCUGUAAUAAACACCAAUUGGAUAA